Molecule: long non-coding RNA, 504 nt
Organism: Cydia pomonella (codling moth)
Lineage: Eukaryota; Metazoa; Arthropoda; Insecta; Lepidoptera; Tortricidae
Exons: 2
Source: RefSeq, a predicted model, not a curated record
GAAGCUACUAAACACUAAACUCAAUCGAAAAAAAAAACUAUAUGACGUGGCGUUGUCAUGUCAUUGUUUCAAAUUGGUCCGUUGUUGUUUUAAAACAGUUUUAAUAAAAUAUCAGAUUUCUACGACGAUUUUGGAUAUAAUAACGGAUACUGAUAUAUGAAUACGAUACCAGGCUUUCAUACGGACACGUCGGGCCGAGGGAUAAACACUAACGAAUGUAGGUAAUGCAAUGAAAUAUUUGUCCGCUAUCUUCGACGAAUUAUUUUUGCAGUAGGUAACGGACGAGACAAUAUUUGGUAUACUUCGGAGGAGUAUAUAUGAGUACCUCAUCGAUCCAUACACGGUUUUGUCUAUUUUAAAAACGAUUAGUAGAUAGUAACUUAAUUAUGUAAAUACAUUUUUGUUUUGAAUGUCAAUCAAUACGUCGUAUUUAAUUGACAAUGUCAAAUCCAAUAUUAUGACAGCUAUUUUUUUUCUUGUGGUGAAUGGCAAUGUCAUUUCACC